CCUACGGGCGGCAGCAGUGAGGAAUAUUGGUCAAUGGGCGCGAGCCUGAACCAGCCAAGUCGCGUGAGGGAAGACGGCCCUACGGGUUGUAAACCUCUUUUGCCGGGGAGCAACGGGCGCCACGUGUGGCGCCACGGAGAGGACCCGGAGAAAAAGCAUCGGCUAACUCCGUGCCAGCAGCCGCGGUAAUACUGAGGAUGCGAGCGUUAUCCGGAUGUAUUGGGUUUAAAGGGGGCGUAGGCGGAGCGUUAAGUCAGUGGUCAAAUUGAGGGGCUCAACCCCUUCCCGCCAUUGAAACUGGCGCUCUUGAGUGGAAGAGAAGUCUGCGGACUGCGUGGUGUAGCGGUGAAAUGCAUAGAUCUCCCGCAGAACCCCGAUUGCGCAGGCAGCAUGCCGGCUUCCUACUGCCGCUGUAGCACGACAGCGUGGGGAUCGAACAGGCUUAGAUACCCCGGUAGUC
This 460-nucleotide ribosomal RNA is filed under the name uncultured bacterium. Its description in RNAcentral is "partial 16S ribosomal RNA". It matches the Rfam family "Bacterial small subunit ribosomal RNA", at positions 338 to 795 of the family's 1533-position model. The record is from RNAcentral.